Molecule: long non-coding RNA, 897 nt
Organism: Varroa destructor (honeybee mite)
Lineage: Eukaryota; Metazoa; Arthropoda; Arachnida; Mesostigmata; Varroidae
Source: RefSeq, a predicted model, not a curated record
UGUUCUUGUUAUGGAAGUCCUUGGUGCAGCCUCUUUAGGAUUGCCUUAAGGUCGUACCACGAUUGGGAGCCCUAUAUAAGCAAUCAGGAAGGACCGAGGAGAAAAAGAAGCCGUAUCCAAAAACCAAAUGGACCAAUGCGAUCACCUUACGCGAUAAUCUGCCCAAUUUUAGGAUUCAAUCUCGUACUUGCCUAGUUCGUGCGAAUUGAUCAUUCAUCAUUAUUCAGCCUAGAUCACGACCUACACCUAGAAAGGUCGAUAGAUCCAGAGCAAACUGUGAACCUCCUACCGGUUUCUUGCGACGUAUCAGUUUGGCUGCGACGCCUAAAGUGUCACUGCCAUCGGGAUGUCGCAUGACACGCGCCAAAAACAAUUGCCGCCAAUAACCCGAAAAUAGAGAGAGGGGCUAGUCAGCAGCUUCAAAAAUUAGAAACAUCCUUGUUCUUCCGUCAUUGUCCUGGAUAAGACUUUCCCGAAAUGAUCGGUGUCGACCAUGACUACGAGCGCUGGCAACAUCCAUUGAAAGUUGAGAGAGAGAGAGAGAGAGAGUAGAAAAACGUUGGCCACCUUAUCGGUCCUACAUUCGAUGCAGCAAUACGAAGAAAUCACCUUUGACAUGAGAUAUUGCACAUGUAAUCGUUGACUACCCUACCGAAUCGUAUCCAUCAAGACGCGUUUCAAUCAAGCAUCAAGAAGGCAUUUACUACAGCGGACGACACGCAUUACAGUAGCAUCUGUGUUUCGUGCGGUAUCGCCGUUAGGUGUUCCAUCAAACGGCUGAUUCCCUGUGUGACAGGAAUCGUGUAUCUAUGCCCGGGUUCGAACCCAGAUGUUACGGUAGCUUGCGUGCCUUCAACUAUACUUUUGACUCCGACGAAAAAACCUUGCUACAUUGUA